Molecule: transfer RNA, 76 nt
Filed under: Abditibacteriota bacterium
Lineage: Bacteria; Pseudomonadati; Abditibacteriota
Description: tRNA-Asn
Rfam family: tRNA
About the family: Transfer RNA (tRNA) molecules are approximately 80 nucleotides in length.
Source: RNAcentral
UCCCCGAUAGCUCAAUUGGCAGAGCAUCUGACUGUUAAUCAGAGGGUUCCUGGUUCGAGUCCAGGUCGGGGAGCCA